Molecule: transfer RNA, 64 nt
Filed under: Gelasimus borealis
Lineage: Eukaryota; Metazoa; Arthropoda; Malacostraca; Decapoda; Ocypodidae
Also listed under: 1 other name
Description: tRNA-Arg
Source: RNAcentral
AAUUAGAAAGCGAAUAAUUGCAUUUAGUUUCGACCUAACCCUUAGGCUCACUGCCUUCUAAUUU